RNAcentral lists this long non-coding RNA (2789 nucleotides) under Mus musculus (house mouse). RNAcentral's name for it is "long non-coding RNA chr13:109709236-109712025". The record is from RNAcentral. Lineage: Eukaryota; Metazoa; Chordata; Mammalia; Rodentia; Muridae.
AUACAUUAACCAAGUUUGACUUUGGUUCAUUUAACAUGUAUGAAUUGAAACAACUUAUCAAUUGUCAAUAUGGCAUUUCUUUAAAAGAUAGGCAAGGUCAGCAAGAUGGCUCAGUGUGGAGAAGUGCUUGUCACCAAGCCUGAUGACCAGAGAUCAAGUAUCUAGAACCAACUCCCACACGUUGUCCUCUUACGCCUGCACACUUGGUAGGUGCCCCUGCUCCAACAUACAUGUAAUACAUACAUACACACAUACAUACAUACAUACAUACAAACAACUUUAAAAUUUAAGGAAAGAUAAAGAAGGGCUAAGCACCUACCUUUAAUCCCAGUACUUGGGAGGCAGAGGCAAAUGGAUCUCUGUGAGUUCCAGGACAGCCCGGUCCACAGAGAACUCUAUGAGACCCAGUGCUACAUAGUGAGACUCUUUCUCCAAGUAAACAAACAAAUAAAUAAAUAAGAAAAAAAGAUAGAGAAAAUGUAUGUGAGUUAAGUCCUUAGUGAUAAUGUGAAAUAAUUUGGUUUUAUCAAAUAUUUAUAAAACUGGCUAUGUUUAGAGAGAAAAGUAUAUUUUUGAGGAAUAAAAUCAUGGCUUAUUUUGUACCAUGACGUGAGAAUGAGUGGAGACUGAGUUUGCAGUUAGGAGCAGCUAGAUAGUGAGAUUAACAGAGAUGCUUCAGAGCAAUGAUGACAUCCAGUCAACCUGCUUCAUAUCAUUCUAUCUCUGAAGUAUCUGUAAGACAAAAAAAAAAAAAAAAAAUCACAAAUCCCUUUGUGAACACUAAGCUGGGGACACAGGUGUUAAAUGCAGUCAGAAGUGGCCCAGGAUCCCCCCUUUUAAAAAAUUAUUAAUUUAUCUUAUGUAUAUGAGUACACUGUAGCUGUAAAGAUGAUUGUGAGCUAUGUGGUUGCUUAGAAUUGAACUCAGGACCUCUGCUCACCCUGGCCCAAAGAUUUAUUUAUUAUUAUAUGUAAAUACACUGUAGCUGUCUUCAGAAGAGGGCAUCAGAUCUCAUUACAGGUGGUUUUGAGCCACCAUGUGGUUGCUGGGAUUUGAACUCAGAACCUUAGGAAUAGCAAUCAGUGCUCUUACCCACUGAACCAUCUUACCAGCACCCCUCUCCUCCCCGCCUUCCAUUUCUUACUGUCACUUCAACAUGACCUGAAUCCUGAUAUUCAGCCAUCAUGAAGUUAUUAGAAGAUGGGAUUGUCUAGGCAUCCACCCACGUUGGGGGAAACCUGACACCCCUGUGUUCAGGCUGGGGCUUGCCAAAGUGGAAUCAAUCAUUUUUGCACAUUAUCAUAACUACACCAUAAUAUGGUUUCUUGGAUAACAGGCUUUAUAGGAAAUUGCCUAAAGGAACAUGUAAAAUAAGAUAUAACACAAUAAUGGUUUGGCCCCAAGUCAAUAUGAAUAUGUAAAUACUUCACAAAUUCUAACUCCAUUCUAUCGCUGAGGGCCCUUUAUAUUGUAUUCAGAUGGUGGGGGCGGUGGGAGGAGUGUUGCUGUACUUUUCUUUCUGUUGCUCUGAUAAAAGCUUACACUUCUAUGUCAGUAUCCAUCACUGUGGGCAGGAACUGGAAGCAGAACCCGUGAAAGACACUGUUUGUUGACACUCUCUGACUCAUUCACAGACCCGUGCUUAGCUUUCUUUUUUCUUUUCUUUUCUUUUUUUAAAAGAUUUUACUUAUUUAUUUUAUGUAUAUGACAAGUACACUUUAGCUUUCUUCAGACACACCAGAAGAGGGUGUCAGAUCCCAUUAUUGAUGGUUGUGAGCCACCAUGUGGUUACUGGGAAUUGAACUCAGGAUGUUUGGAAGAGCAGUCAGUGCUCUUAACUGCUGAGCCAUCUCUCCAGCCCCAUGCUUAGCUUUCUUACACAUCCCAGGACCACAUUUAGUUCUACCCAGGGAGUGCUGAUAUUCUACAGACAUGCCCAGAGGCCAGUGUGACCUAUGCAAUUCCUCAGUUGAGGGUCUCUUCUAUGGUGACUCUGGUUUGACAAUAAAAACCAAUCUACCUUAUCAACUUGACAUACAAACACAUUAGGGUUUAAUCAUAACUUUUUUCUUGUCCUCACAAAUCUCUUAUUAAUAAUGCCACACUAAAUCAUAGUCCUAUGAUCAAUUUCAAUAAUUUAAAAGUCCAGUGUCUCCCUAAAAAGUCCAAAGUCCCUGGAACUAGAGAAAUUGCCCGGAAGUUAAAAGCUUGUACUGCUCUUAGAGAGGGCUUGAGCUCAGUUCCCAGUGCCCAUGCUGGGCAGCUCACAACUGCUUCUGACCACAUCUACAGGGGAUCUAAUGACUAUGGUCUCCAUAAGCACCAACACCCGUGUGCACAGACCUCCCCUACAUAUGUGCAAACUUUAAAAUAAUAAUAAAAAUAAUAGGUAAUCCAAGUUUUGUUUUCAAAUCCAUCAACUCUUAACUGUGGGCCCCUUUAAAACAAACAAACAAACAAACAAACAAACAAACAAAAAACAAGUUACAUACUUCUUGUUCCAAAAGGGAAGACUCAGGGCAUGAAAAUACUCACAGUAAAGCAAAGCCAGCGUCGUCAAGUAGUGUGGCUGAAUGGUCACCAUCCCUAGAUUCCUUCCAGGGUUGCCUUAGACAAGCCUGCUUCCCUUGACAUCAUUCAGACCUUGCCUAAGCCUUAAGUUUAGAGGCUUAGGCUGGGUCCCUGACUCACCCGAUCCAGCCACACUUACACAGCUCUUUUACUGUAUUAGUUACCGUCCUGUUGCUGUGAUAAAAUACUAAGAACAAGUAAACUUAGUUCAUAUUUCC